GUUUAUCCCUGAAGAAAUGAGAGGACUGAUAAUUUGGACACAUUAGAAAAAUAACAGGAAUCAUGUUUUUUCCUAUUGACUGGAAAUGUCUCUAACCUCUAAAAAUACAAUUUUUCUCUCACCUUAAUUCUGAGAUAGCGUGGGCUCUAAGCAUAAUUCCAUUAAUUCAGCCACACAAAGACAUUAGAAUUUUGUAAGGUGGAUUUUGUAAGGUGUAAAAUAUAUAUCUGUGCCUUGAGUCAUCAAUUCUAGUUCUAGAAUGAUUUGCAGUGCAGUCUCUGUUCCAAUCCCCUUUGUUUAAGUAAGAUGUAACCCUAUUUUUACAGAUGAGAUAACUGAGUCCAGAGAGAUAGGUUUGUUGAGUGAUUUGUUGAGUCAUAAACUUGUAGUGAAAUCUAGAAUUCAGAUCUUCUACUUCUCAUGCUAUUUUAUCUCCCAGAGAACCAAAGGAUAUCCCCCCAUAGAGUUCUUUAUCUUUGGGUAUUCAGUCAUUCCACAGCUGCUGAGCACAGCUGGGCUGCUGCUUCAGAUAGUGGCAAGUUCCUUGUCUGUCUUAGCCAAGCACUAACACAGCUACCUGCAGAGAAUUCAGAUGAGGGACAUGUAAAAGACAUAUGCUAAGGAGGACAUAUGACUACUGCCCUACCAACUGGGAAGGGGAAAAUUGAGCUAAGGACUUUCAUGUUAGAGCAAGUUGGCUCAAUAUUAUCAUGACCAUCUAAAUUACUUUUGGUUCACAUCCUUAUGCAUGUAUUAUUUAGUGACAUAGGUAAGAGAGUUACACUGCUAGAAUAUCAAAUAGGGCUCAAGGCUUUAGGGCUGACACAUUCUUAAUGGCAACACAUUAGACUGAAAAGAAUAAUGGGCAUAGUUAGCCAAAGACUAUUUUCAGUCCAAUCUUUCCAAUAUGAUCACCAACCAAAGUGAUCCAAAAACAAAGAAAGGAGGUAGCUCCCAUAUUCUUGGUACUUGAUUACAACAGAUAAAUAAUGAAUUUUCAGCUUCUCCAUACCCAGACACAUAGCAAUUCACAGAUUUAGAUACUAGCAAAUAGAUGUUCCUCUAACUGCUCAAAUGUCACAGAGUUACAAAGAAUAGGAUGAAAAAGAAGAAGCAAGCAGUCACAAAAUAUUCCCAUACAAUGUUGACUGAUCCGAAGAUACAUAAGUGUGGUGACCUAAAAGUUUCUGAUGGAAUCUCAGAAAAGAGAUUUCCAGCACUAGUUUUAUAACCCAAUAGUCAUGUGCUCCUGUAGGUCUGGGUUCUCCUUAAUGUGGG
RNAcentral lists this long non-coding RNA (1278 nucleotides) under Sarcophilus harrisii (Tasmanian devil). RNAcentral's name for it is "lncRNA (ENSSHAG00000032371.1)". Lineage: Eukaryota; Metazoa; Chordata; Mammalia; Dasyuromorphia; Dasyuridae. The record is from RNAcentral.